Molecule: non-coding RNA, 46 nt
Organism: Strongyloides ratti
Lineage: Eukaryota; Metazoa; Nematoda; Chromadorea; Rhabditida; Strongyloididae
Source: Rfam
CCAACGGCCCUCUUUAGGGCCACCAAAUUAUAUUUUUUUUGCUUAU